UAUGCAAUUUGUGGGAAAUCUGAAAAAUUUGUCUUAUUAGUUCAUAAACUUACGCAUACUGGAGAAAAACUAUAUCACUGUGAUGUUUGUAGCAAGGAAUUUUCCAAUAGUGGCAGCUUAAAAGGACAUAUACAUACACACACUGGAGAGAAAUCACAUCACUGUGAAAUUUGUGGAAAAAUAUUUUCUAACUUGAGGUGUUUAAUAAGGCAUAAUCAUACUCAUACUGGGGGAAAACCAUACAGCUGUGUUAUUUGUGGGAAAUCAUUUCCUUGUACUGAUUAUAUAUCUACUGAAAUGUUUUGUUAAUGAUGGAGAAAUUUGGAAUGUAGCUUAUAAGAUAAAGAAAUAAAAAACACAGGUACAAACAAUGUAGUAAGCAUACACAUGCACCCAGAUACGGAUUCAAAUUGUUGCACAUAUAUGGAUGCUUAGCAGAGAAAGACAAAAUGGAAUAAGAACAAGAAGAGACAUGGGAUAGAGAGUUACUGAAGAGGUCCCAGGAUGAGGGAUGAAAGAACAAAGAAACUAGAAUAAUGAUAAAUCUGAAGAGAAGACCAAAUAUAUAAAGGGUGUUUAAUUGGCAAAAUAGACCAUCAUCAAGUAUAACAAUAUUAUAACAUUUUGAUGUAAAGCCCCAUGGUUGUCAUGAGGAUACAGUGAAUAUUCAGAAAUGACACUAUUGAGUUAUUAUGGUUGUCAUGGAUCUGGUCAUGUGUUACUUGCUGAACAUGCAGACACAGGAACUGAACUUCCCUGUAGUUCUGUACUGCCAUUAUUCCUGAAAACCAUCUUAUGAUGACUCAUUUACAUUCAUUCCGAAUAAUCUUUGUAUCUUUCUCAUCAUGCAGACCCAGCCCAUAGUUAUCUUUGCACUUCUUAAGUCAACUGAUCACUUUUUUAUCAUCACAAUAACCUGAACCUCUAACGAGCUUACCCUAGUGUCAUGUUUCACUCUUGAUCCAUCAGAAUGGUCAAGGCUAGUGACUGCACUGAUUCUCUUAGGUAUAUCCACCCAUAUCCCACAUGGCCCUGAAUGCUUUACUUCAUAGUAUCACUCCAGCUGCUCAGACACAAAACAACAACUACAGUGCUUGAACCAAAUCACCCAUCCCUGCAAACUAGAUAAUCCUUAGCCAGUUCCUAAACUCUAACUGAUCUUUGUAUACCAAAAGAAUCACUACUGACUAUGAAUAAUCCUAGUACCCUCCCUCUCUCAAUCAAUGUUAUUCUGAGAGUAGUUCUGUGGAAAAGGCUCUGCAACCAAUUCCAUUAUACAAACCGUUUCUUCCCAUUCCACCAUGUACACACAGACGAAGUCCUUAAGUACCAUAGUUUGCUGCAAACUUACCAAGGCCAAUAACCCUAACAAAGUCCCUUCAGUUACUACCUCACAGAAAUAUUCUUCAUUCUCACCAAACUCUACCCUUCAAUUUUUUUUCUCUCUCUGUCUUUCUGUGUGUAUCCUGAUUAAUGUUUAACUUUUUGAUCCUGAUGAUAAGCAACUCCUGAAAGGAAAACUCCAACUUAUUACCACUUCUCAAAUGCUCAGACGUGCUGAGAGCUAGCAAACUUUGGUUACAACUAAUUGAAAUGAUACUUCUUUAUUGAUAUAUGACAGGCGAAGUAAACUGGUUAGAUUUUAAAGUCGGUGCCCUUAAAUCCAAAAAUUUAUGCGGAGGAAUUCAGUACCAAAGAAAAAUACUUUUGUUCACUUUUUGCUAUGUCUACGUUGUUUAACAGACAUAUUUCCAUUUGAAAGAAGACUUUCUGCAGAGGAUACUGCAAGUCUGCUGUGUUAGGGUAGAAAGAUUUAUCAACCAAUUAAUGUCUUCAGAAUAAAAGAAUAAAACUGAAAAUUAACUGAGAGAAUGUUUCACAAAGUCAGCAAAUGUUACAAAUGUGGUAUUUGUGGUAAAGUACUUACUACAAAAUAUAAUUUAGCUAUUCAUAAGCGCAUUCAUAUUGGGGAGAAGUUAUACCACUGUGAAGUAUGUGAGAAGGCAUUUUCUGUAAAAGCUUAUUUAACAGAACACAAACAUAUACAUACAGGAGAGAAACCGUUUCACUGCGAAAUAUGUGGAAAAUCAUUUUCUCAUAAAGGUUACGUAAAGAUACACAAACGUGUUCACACUGGAGAGAAACCAUACAAUUGCGAAAUCUGUGGCAAAGCAUUUUCAGAUCUUAGUAGUGCAAAAAGUCAUCAACUUAUUCAUACUGGAGAAAAACCAUUUCACUGUGAAAUAUGUGGAAAAUCAUUUUCUUAUAAAGGUUACUUAAAGAUUCACAAACGUACACACACAGGAGAGAAACCAUUUCAUUGUGAAAUCUGUGGUAAAGCAUUUUCACAGUUCAAUGGCGUAAGAAGUCAUCAGCUUAUUCACACUGGAGAAAAACGAUACCAUUGUGAAACCUGUGGCAAACCGUUUUCUCGACUUGGUAAUUUAAAAACGCAUAAACAUACUCAUACUGGGGAGAAGCCAUACAGGUGUGAUGAUUGUGGGAAAGGUUUUUCAACUGCAAGUGCCUGUGAAAUACACAGAGGUGUGCACUCAAAACCUUACCACUGUGAAAUCUGUGAUAAAGCAUUUUCUGUAAAAUACUCUUUAACAAUACACAAACGUCUUCACACUGGAGAGAAGCCAUAUCACUGUGAAGUAUGUGGGAAAGGAUUUACAAACAGAGGUACCUUAAUGAAGCAUAAACAUAGUCACACAGGAGAAAAACAACACCACUGUGAAAUCUGUGGGAAAGCGUUUCCUCAAAAAUAUUGUCUAAUAUUACACAAACGGAUUCACACAGGAGAGAAACCAUAUCACUGUGAGGUUUGUGGAAAAGACUUUGCUGGUAAGUGCAACUUAGUAAAUCACAAACGUAUUCAUACUGGGGAAAAACCACAUCACUGUGAAGUCUGUGGCAGAGCAUUUUCGCAAACUGGUAGUUUAAAACGACACAGACGUACUCACACAGGAGAGAAACCAUAUCACUGUUUAAUAUGUGGGAAAGAAUUUUCACUUAAGACCAGCUUAACAACACAUAACCGUAUUCAUACUAGACAAAAGUCACUGUAAUAUGAAAUUUGUGGGAAAGCAUUUUCAGAAAAAUUUGUCCUAUUGGUACAUAAACUUACUCAUACUGGAGAAAAACCAUAUCAUUGAAGUUUGUGACAAGGAAUUUUCCAAUAGUGGCAGCUUAAAAGGACAUAUACACACUGGGGAAAAACCACACCACUGUGAAAUCUGUGAUGGCUUGACUGAGAACUGGUAAGCUGGGUGGUUGCACCAGGCUCCAAUCUGAUUUGGCAUGGUUUCUAUGGUUGGAUGCCCUUCUUAAUGCCAACCACUCCGAUAGUGUUGUGGGACCUUUUUACUUGACGCCGGCAUGAGUACCAGUGAGGCAGCACAGGCAUUAGCCUUACUCGAUGCUUCUUUAUGUGUGUGUGUCUUGUAUUACCUCCUCACUGUCACUUGACAACCAGUGUUGGUUGGUUUAUGUCACCAUAACUUACAGUACCAAUAAAGAAACCAAGUGAAUAAAUACUAGAUUUGCAAAAGGCUGUACCCCAGCAUGGCCACAUUCCACUGAUGGAAAGAGGAAAAAGAUUAAUGGAAGUGGUUCCAUUUCAACUAAAACUAUAAUUACGUGAAACAUUAAUACUGAGUGGAAAUAUUCCAAUGACCCUGGGCCCAUGGCAGUACCUCCAACAGAGUAUUACUUAAACACUGUCCCAAAUAAUUGGAAUACUUUUUGGACAUAUUUUCAUUGGAAAGAAGAUUUUCUGCAGAGGAUACUGAGAGUCUGCUCUGUUAGGGUAGAAAGAUUUAUCAACCAAUUUAUGUCUUCAGAAUGAAAGAAUAAGACUGUGAAAAUUAAC
Octopus sinensis (East Asian common octopus) is the source of this 3874-nucleotide RNA transcript. It is a transcript of the gene named zinc finger protein 879-like, with no coding region annotated. The transcript is spliced from 4 exons. NCBI's taxonomy places the organism in Eukaryota, Metazoa, Mollusca, Cephalopoda, Octopoda, Octopodidae. The record is from RefSeq and is a predicted model, not a curated record.